UGGGGAAUCUUAGACAAUGGGGGCAACCCUGAUCUAGCCAUGCCGCGUGAGUGAUGAAGGCCUUAGGGUUGUAAAGCUCUUUCGCCGGUGAAGAUAAUGACGGUAACCGGUAAAGAAGCCCCGGCUAACUUCGUGCCCGCAGCCGCGGUAAUACGAAGGGGGCUAGCGUUGUUCGGAAUUACUGGGCGUAAAGCGCGCGUAGGCGGGUCAUUAAGUCAGGGGUGAAAUCCCGGGGCUCAACCUCGGAAUUGCCUCUGAUACUGGUGGCCUUGAGUCCGUGAGAGGUGAGUGGAGCUCCGAGUGUGGAGGUGAAAUUCGUAGAUAUUCGGAAGAACACCAGUGGCGAAGGCGGCUCACUGGCACGGUACUGACGCUGAGGUGCGAAAGCGUGGGGAGCAAACAGGAUUAGAUACCCGUGUAGUCC
This 424-nucleotide ribosomal RNA is filed under the name uncultured prokaryote. Its description in RNAcentral is "bacterial SSU rRNA". It matches the Rfam family "Bacterial small subunit ribosomal RNA", at positions 355 to 796 of the family's 1533-position model. The record is from RNAcentral.